RNAcentral lists this ribosomal RNA (440 nucleotides) under uncultured bacterium. RNAcentral describes it as "partial 16S ribosomal RNA". It matches the Rfam family "Bacterial small subunit ribosomal RNA", at positions 338 to 795 of the family's 1533-position model. The record is from RNAcentral.
CCUACGGGGGGCAGCAGUGGGGAAUAUUGCACAAUGGGGGAAACCCUGAUGCAGCGACGCCGCGUGAGUGAAGAAGUAUCUCGGUACGUAAAGCUCUAUCAGCAGGGAAGAAAAUGACGGUACCUGACUAAGAAGCCCCGUCUAACUACGUGCCAGCAGCCGCGGUAAUACGUCGGGGGCAAGCGUUAUCCGGAUUUACUGGGUGUAAAGGGAGCGUAGACGGAAGCACAAGUCUGGAGUGAAAUCCCGGGGCUUAACCCCGGAAGUGCAUUGGAAACCGUGCGGCUGGAGUGCAGGAGGGGUAAGCGGAAUUCGUAGUGUAGCGGUGAAAUGCGUAGAUAUUAGGAGGAACACCGGUGGCGAAGGCGGCUUACUGGACUGUAACUGACGUUGAGGCUCGAAAGCGUGGGGAGCAAACAGGAUUAGAUACCCUUGUAGUC